RNAcentral lists this ribosomal RNA (717 nucleotides) under uncultured Bacteroidales bacterium. RNAcentral's name for it is "bacterial SSU rRNA". It matches the Rfam family "Bacterial small subunit ribosomal RNA", at positions 41 to 747 of the family's 1533-position model. The record is from RNAcentral. Lineage: Bacteria; Pseudomonadati; Bacteroidota; Bacteroidia; Bacteroidales.
UACAGGCUUAACACAUGCAAGUCGAGGGGCAGCAUGGUUUCAGCUUGCUGAGACUGAUGGCGACCGGCGCACGGGUGAGUAACGCGUAUCCAACCUGCCCUUUACUCCGGGAUAGUCUCCUGAAAGGGAGUUUAAUACCGGAUGUGUUUGUCUUUCCGCAUGGGAGCGACAAAUAAAGAUUAAUUGGUAAAGGAUGGGGAUGCGUCCCAUUAGCUAGUUGGCGGGGUAACGGCCCACCAAGGCGACGAUGGGUAGGGGUUCUGAGAGGAAGGUCCCCCACAUUGGAACUGAGACACGGUCCAAACUCCUACGGGAGGCAGCAGUGAGGAAUAUUGGUCAAUGGGCGGGAGCCUGAACCAGCCAAGUAGCGUGAAGGACGACGGCCCUACGGGUUGUAAACUUCUUUUAUAAGGGAAUAAAGUGCGUUACGUGUAAUGUUUUGUAUGUACCUUAUGAAUAAGCAUCGGCUAAUUCCGUGCCAGCAGCCGCGGUAAUACGGAAGAUGCGAGCGUUAUCCGGAUUUAUUGGGUUUAAAGGGAGCGUAGGCGGGCUUUUAAGUCAGCGGUCAAAUGUCACGGCUCAACCGUGGCCAGCCGUUGAAACUGCAAGCCUUGAGUCUGCACAGGGCACAUGGAAUUCGUGGUGUAGCGGUGAAAUGCUUAGAUAUCACGAAGAACUCCGAUCGCGAAGGCAUUGUGCCGGGGCAGCACUGACGCU